GACGAACGCUGGCGGCGUGCUUAACACAUGCAAGUCGAACGGAAAGGCCCUGCUUUUGUGGGGUGCUCGAGUGGCGAACGGGUGAGUAACACGUGAGUAACCUGCCCUUGACUUUGGGAUAACUUCAGGAAACUGGGGCUAAUACCGGAUAGGAGCUCCUGCUGCAUGGUGGGGGUUGGAAAGUUUCGGCGGUUGGGGAUGGACUCGCGGCUUAUCAGCUUGUUGGUGGGGUAGUGGCUUACCAAGGCUUUGACGGGUAGCCGGCCUGAGAGGGUGACCGGCCACAAUGGGACUAAGAUACGGCCCAGACGCCUACGGGAGGCAGCGGUGGGGAAUAUUGCGCAAUGGGCGGAAGCGUGAUGCGGCAACGCCGCGUGCGGGAUGCCGGCCUUCGGGUUGUAAACCGCUUUCGCCUGUGACGAAGCGGGAGUGACGGUAAUGGGUAAAGAAGCACCGGCUAACUACGU
This 467-nucleotide ribosomal RNA is filed under the name uncultured bacterium. RNAcentral's name for it is "partial 16S ribosomal RNA". It matches the Rfam family "Bacterial small subunit ribosomal RNA", at positions 28 to 506 of the family's 1533-position model. The record is from RNAcentral.